CACUCUGGUGGCCUAGUGGUUCGAGUGUUUGCCUUGGAUGCGGGAGGUCGUGGGUUCGAUUCACAGUUGAGUCA
This is a non-coding RNA of Potamilus streckersoni, 74 nucleotides long. Lineage: Eukaryota; Metazoa; Mollusca; Bivalvia; Unionida; Unionidae. The record is from the annotation of a GenBank genome assembly.